RNAcentral lists this ribosomal RNA (496 nucleotides) under uncultured bacterium. RNAcentral describes it as "partial 16S ribosomal RNA". It matches the Rfam family "Bacterial small subunit ribosomal RNA", at positions 28 to 506 of the family's 1533-position model. The record is from RNAcentral.
GAUGAACGCUGGCGGCGUGCCUAAUACAUGCAAGUCGAGCGAACAGACGAGGAGCUUGCUCCUCUGACGUUAGCGGCGGACGGGUGAGUAACACGUGGAUAACCUACCUAUAAGACUGGGAUAACUUCGGGAAACCGGAGCUAAUACCGGAUAAUAUAUUGAACCGCAUGGUUCAAUAGUGAAAGACGGUUUUGCUGUCACUUAUAGAUGGAUCCGCGCCGCAUUAGCUAGUUGGUAAGGUAACGGCUUACCAAGGCAACGAUGCGUAGCCGACCUGAUAGGGGGAUGGGACAAAGAGAAAAGGAAAAAGGGACAGAAAACCAAGGGGGGGAAGGAGAGGGAAAACUGCGGAAAGGGGGGAAAGCGUAAAGGAGAAAAGCAGGGGGGGUGAAGAAGGGUUGCGAAUGGAAAAACGUUGUUAUUAGGGAAAAAAAAAAGUGAAAGAAAAGAAGAAGGUUUGAAGGGAACCAAAAAAAAAAGCCACGGCAAACUAGGG